CAACCAUCGGAGACAUUGGAAAUUAAAACCGUACAAUGCCAUCAAACAUCAGCAUUUCCAAUGCUAAAAUGAUGCCCCCUACUGCACUGUGUGGAAAAAGAAUUGGUUUGAAAUUCCAAAUGUUGCAUUUUCCUCCAAAAGAAGGCGUGAAACUACAACUUGAUAGAAAAUAGACUUGCACCAACGAUAGCUGAAUUAGAAAGAGGACGAGGAAUGUAUGCCAAAGAUACAUUUUGAAGGAGUACAAGGGCACAAAGCAAAGUUCUGAGCCAAGUUAAACAAAAUGCACCAAAAAAGAGAUGUGCGCGUAACACAAUUUCUUUGAAGGAGAAAUUUCCGUUGGAAACAAAAUUUUCAUUAACGUUCUAAUGUGUGACACAGUUCAAUCGUCUUUUGUUGCGUACUAUCAAAUAUGGACCGUUAAGAAGAGUCCUUUCCAGCGUAAAAUAAUAAACUACUUAUACUACAGAAACACAGAAUAAACUCCAGAAAUUACAUACC
Long non-coding RNA from Photinus pyralis (common eastern firefly), 501 nucleotides. RefSeq lists it as uncharacterized. The record is from RefSeq and is a predicted model, not a curated record. NCBI's taxonomy places the organism in Eukaryota, Metazoa, Arthropoda, Insecta, Coleoptera, Lampyridae. The transcript is spliced from 3 exons.